Bos taurus (domestic cattle) is the source of this 2204-nucleotide long non-coding RNA. The record is from Ensembl. NCBI's taxonomy places the organism in Eukaryota, Metazoa, Chordata, Mammalia, Artiodactyla, Bovidae.
UUUUUUUUGGCAGCAAAAUUGAUAGAAUCUGGAAGCACUCUGAGAAGAUUAAAAAAAGUUCUCAAAAUCUCCCUCAUAAAUUAGUUUAAGUUCUUAUUCCAGGAUUAUAUGAGAACGGGCCAAAUUUUCAACUGCCAAAGACGUUUACCAGAUCCCUGGCACUUGAUUUAGGAAAACUGGGAAAAAUUUAUUUUUGUGAAAAUAAGUAUUUCUAUCUUAAGUCUGGUUUUGAAGGAUGAAGAAAGUGGGGAAUUAAAUGAACAUUUUUUUUUGAAUACCUGUUCUUGGUCAGGCCCUGUGCCCUGGAUACUUUCAUAUACAUUCUCAUAUAGUCUCACACAGCCAUGUGAGGGGCUGGAAUCCUGUCAAGCAGGGAUUAAAUGAAUUCCCCAAGAUUACUUAAUUUAUGGAUAGUAAAUGGAAUUGAAACCUAGGAUCUCUAAGUUCUGUCCUUUUCACUACCUAUGAGUUUUCUCCUCCUCUGUUGGCUGAAAGAAAUAGACUCAGGCUCUUGGGUUUCUCAUUUUUGUGAUAACUCAAUUGUUACUUCUUCAGGGCAGUCUUCUGUUAACCUAACACUUGUCAGACUUUCCACUCUGACGUACCCUCCUCUUGAAAUUCUUUCAUAAUAUUAUCUUUUGCACCAGACUAUGAACUCGUUGAAGUCAAGGCCAUAUCUGGUUUUGCUUAUUAUAUUCCCAGUGCCUGGUGUAUAGAAGAGACAAUAAAUUAUCUGUUGAAUAGUAGUAUGCAUGAACCUACCCAUAUGCACAAUGGGAAAUACUACUAUAGUCUUUAGUGCAGAUUUUAUAGUGUGAAGGAGUUUGCAAAUCUCAAAUUAUUUGAAUUAUUGAGAAGGGAAAGGGCCAGAAAGUUUGUUCCUCACAACUUAGGAAAAUUUCAACUGAUGCUUUUGUCUUUUUUUUUUUCCUUUUUUUAAAGUCCAUUGUCCACAUUGCUGUUGGAGUGUUCUAAAACACAAAUUUCAAAAACUAUUGUCAGGCUCACUUGUGUCUGGCUACCUCCUUGGGUGGCUUGUAAGCAUGCCCUUCUUUUCUGGCCUUGUUUCCUACUGUUCUCCCUCGCCUUCUGACCACACUUCUGAGAGAUGCCUCGCACUGAUCUUCCAUGAUGCUACUCCUGUCAACUCUCAUUUCCUGAAGAGCUAACUCUGUAAUCCGAGUGACUUCCUCAACCUCCCUAAGCAGUUACUUGCUUUUUGUUCCUAUUGUUCUUUAUACACCAUGUAGAACUUGUAAUCUCCUGACCUCUUGUUUAUUGUCUGCCUCCCUCGUUUGAUUGUUAACACAGAAAAAAGGCCAUGUUGCUCAGUCUUGUAUUUCUCACUUUUGCAUUCCUCCAACAGAACAGCACAGAUUAAAACAAAACUGAAAGCUGGCAUGGUGUCAGCUACCUGUCCGUUUAGAGAAUGGAUUCCUGUGAUAGACCUGAGUUGAUCAGCACUAGUGGUUGGUCUUCAAAUGAUGCCAGGAGGGAAGGAUAUGGACUGCUGCUGUCCACAGCUCCCACACCUUGGAUUUUACCUAGAGGUCUAGGCGUUGAUGACCAGCUACCUUUCUCUAUUUAACCUUUGGUUACAUGUACUGGCCUCACGAAGGACCUCAUACUAGUCAGCUACCUUUCUAGGCCCUUUCCCCUUCCAUCCUCUCCCUUCCUUCUUCUGUGAUCAUCCUUUGCUGACCUGCAUCCCCAGGACUUUGCAUGUCCUUCUAUUGAAUUUGGGGUAUCAGCUUUCCCCCAGUCCUUUAUGGAUUUUGCAUGUAGUUUCCAUGACUCUGAUUCUUAUGUGUAAUUCAUGCACUGUGAUGUUCCUAUUCACAAAGAAUAGGAACAAACUUCUACUAACACAUACUGCUGUUAGACAUUAUCACCAGAUGUUUGGGAAGGCAGGUAAGGAAGUAGUUCUGGGCUGUAAGACUCAGGCCCUCCCAGGAGAGUUAGGAGGAAGUGGGACGUCCUGUUGCUUCCAGUCACUUUAACAGGCUCGGCCUCUCUUGAUGUUUCCCAAGAGUAGUCUGAGGCCACCUCUAUCAGCUUUCACAGGAUGUGACAUCUCUCCUAGCAGCCUAGGGAGUGCUGGUUUUCACGCUAUAUUCCACAAACCCCCUAGACUCCACAAGUCCUGUCAUUCCUCAAACAUUUGACUUGUCUUUAAUGUGGAUCUGUAGUAACUUUAAAAAAUG